Arachis stenosperma is the source of this 148-nucleotide long non-coding RNA. RefSeq lists it as uncharacterized. The record is from RefSeq and is a predicted model, not a curated record. The transcript has 3 exons. NCBI's taxonomy places the organism in Eukaryota, Viridiplantae, Streptophyta, Magnoliopsida, Fabales, Fabaceae.
UAGGGAACAAACGCCGUCGGAAGCGCUUGCAAUAGUCCCGAUCCAAUUUUUUGUGCCGCCAUCCCAGCAAACAACCACUGACGCAGAUUCCGAACCAACCCCUAUGCUACAGAUUGAAGGGGCUAGAGAAACCACUCCUGAAACCCCC